GACGAACGCUGGCGGCGUGCUUAACACAUGCAAGUCGAACGGAAAGGCCCUGCUUUUGUGGGGUGCUCGAGUGGCGAACGGGUGAGUAACACGUGAGUAACCUGCCCUUGACUUUGGGAUAACUUCAGGAAACUGGGGCUAAUACCGGAUAGGAGCUCCUGCUGCAUGGUGGGGGUUGGAAAGUUUCGGCGGUUGGGGAUGGACUCGCGGCUUAUCAGCUUGUUGGUGGGGUAGUGGCUUACCAAGGCGUUGACGGGUAGCCGGCCUGAGAGGGUGACCGGCCACAUUGGGACUGAGAUACGGACCAGACUCCUACGGGAGGCAGCAGUGGGGAAUAUUGCACAAUGGGCGGAAGCCUGAUGCAGCAACGCCGCGUGCGGGAUGACGGCCUUCGGGUUGUAAACCGCUUUCGCCUGUGACGAAGCGUGAGUGACGGUAAUGGGUAAAGAAGCACCGGCUAACUACGUG
RNAcentral lists this ribosomal RNA (468 nucleotides) under uncultured bacterium. Its description in RNAcentral is "partial 16S ribosomal RNA". It matches the Rfam family "Bacterial small subunit ribosomal RNA", at positions 28 to 507 of the family's 1533-position model. The record is from RNAcentral.